UCUCUUUUUUUCAUUAUGGCAUUCAAUAUCUCACCCUUCCUCCCAUAGGGAGAGUGGAUAGAGAGAACUUUUGGACUACAAUUCCCAUCAUCCACAAAGCUGUGGCUGAUGGGUGUUGUAGUCCAAAGCAACCCAGAGGGUUGAACCUGUGGACAUCCAGGGAAGCUGAAUUUUGGAAGGUUCAGGACAGAUAAAAGAAAGCGCUUCUUCAUGCAGCCCACAGUUAAACUACAGAACUCCCUCCCACUGGAGGCAGCGAUGGCCAUCAACUUGGAAACUCCAGGAGGGGAGAGCUACUCUUGUGCUCAGGUCCUGCUUGCUGGUUUCCCAUGUUUUUAGCUCUUUUAUGUUUUUAGCUGUUUUUUACCUUUAUCUGUAAGCUGCCUUGAGUCCCUGUCAGGGGUAAAACCGGGGUAUACAUAAAUAAAAUUGUUGUCAA
Podarcis raffonei (Aeolian wall lizard) is the source of this 439-nucleotide long non-coding RNA. RefSeq lists it as uncharacterized. The transcript has 2 exons. The record is from RefSeq and is a predicted model, not a curated record. NCBI's taxonomy places the organism in Eukaryota, Metazoa, Chordata, Lepidosauria, Squamata, Lacertidae.